GACGAACGCUGGCGGCGUGCCUAACACAUGCAAGUCGAACGGAAAGGCCCUGCUUUUGUGGGGUGCUCGAGUGGCGAACGGGUGAGUAUAACGUGUGUAACCUGCCCUUGACUUUGGGAUAACAUCAGGAAACUCGGGCUAAUACCGGAUAGGAGCUCCUGCUGCAUGGUGGUGGUUGGAAAGUUGCGGCGGUUGGGGAUGGACUCGCGGCUUAUCAGCUUGUUGGUGGGGUAGUGGCUUACCAAGGCUUUGACGGGUAGCCGGCCUGAGAGGGUGACCGGGCACAAUGGGACUGAGGGAGGGCCCAGACGGCAACGGGAGGCAGCAGUGGAGAACAGUGCGCAAUGGGCGGAAGCCUGAUGCAGCAACGUCGCGUGCGGGAUGACGGCUUUCGGGUUGUAAACCGCUUUCGCCUGUGACGAAGCGUGAGUGACGGUAAUGGGUAAAGAAGCACCGGCUAACUACGUG
RNAcentral lists this ribosomal RNA (468 nucleotides) under uncultured bacterium. Its description in RNAcentral is "partial 16S ribosomal RNA". It matches the Rfam family "Bacterial small subunit ribosomal RNA", at positions 28 to 507 of the family's 1533-position model. The record is from RNAcentral.